RNAcentral lists this ribosomal RNA (460 nucleotides) under uncultured bacterium. RNAcentral's name for it is "bacterial SSU rRNA". It matches the Rfam family "Bacterial small subunit ribosomal RNA", at positions 338 to 795 of the family's 1533-position model. The record is from RNAcentral.
CCUANGGGCGGCAGCAGUGAGGAAUAUUGGUCAAUGGGCGUAAGCCUGAACCAGCCAUCCCGCGUGAAGGAAGACGGCGCUAUGCGUUGUAAACUUCUUUUCCAGAGGAAUAAAAUUUUGUACGAGUACGGAACUGAAGGUACUCUGGGAAUAAGCAUCGGCUAACUCCGUGCCAGCAGCCGCGGUAAUACGGAGGAUGCGAGCGUUAUCCGGAUUUAUUGGGUUUAAAGGGUGCGUAGGCGGAUUAAUAAGUCAGUGGUGAAAACCUUCAGCUUAACUGGAGAACUGCCAUUGAUACUGUUAGUCUUGAGUACGGUCAAGGUAGGCGGAAUGUGUAAUGUAGCGGUGAAAUGCUUAGAUAUUACACAGAACACCGAUUGCGAAGGCAGCUUACUGGGCCAUUACUGACGCUGAUGCACGAAAGCGUGGGGAGCGAACAGGAUUAGAUACCCUUNUANUC